UGAUCUGCCUGCCUCAGCCUCCCAAAGUGCUGGGAUUACAGGUGUUAGCCACCAUGCCCAGCCUGUUACUGCUCCUUUGUGUUGUUGUGGGAUUAAAAGAUCAAUGGGAACAGUAGCUGUGAUCUUGGUUUGUGAUAAGAACUUUUUAGCUACCACUUUCCACUCUGAGUCACUUUAUCUCAGCAGAGAAAGUGGACAAUGAAGAUGAAAUAUCUGGACAUGGCUGCAAUCAUGAACUCGUAGCUUUAGAAGAUUAUUUCUCCUUUUUCUUCUCUCCCAGCCAGCAAGGAGGGUAGAACAGGGAGGGUAUCCAAGCUGCAGGAAGGCAGGCUACCAAAUAUUUUUGGGGUGGAGAGUCACUAUCCCAGGAGACGAGAGAAAGGCCUGGGAGGAAGGAAAGAACUGAGGAGUAUUUUCUCCCUCAUCCAGGAGGCGCCUGGAGACCCCUUUCUGAAUCCAGCAUCCUCUGGUUGGUGUCUUUGCAGGGAUGUGCAGGGGCCCUGUGGAGUUCCUGCAGAAUUCUGCAGCUGUUGGGGCCUCGGAGGAGAUGGGCAGUGUGUCUCCCAGUCCUUGUUAGUCCCACAAAUAGCCCAUUGAGGGGAGCAGGAGAAGGGAGAGGCUUCCAGGGCUGCCCCUGGGGUCCCUCAAUGGGGGCACUGUUCAGGCUUGGGUGGAGGCCAGCCCUGACACCAUGCUGGUUGUUAAGGCCUCAUUCUUCCCAAGGAGGCGGCUGCAAAGGCAGCAGAGCAGCUGAGGCUCCAGAAAAGAUUCUAGACUUAAGAAAGUGAUGAAGAAAAUGUUGAAAAUGCAAUGAACUUGGAAGUGUGUUGUAGCUGUAGUCCUUACAUUGUGAAUAGCAUUGAAAAUUGAUAAGCUCUUUCAGAUUUUGAGAACAAUUAUUUGACUUGGCAAAACUGUCAUAUCACUGAAAAGUGAGUCAAGCUCCACAGAUAGAUUGGCCUCUUUCCCAACCUGGGUCUUGAGCAGAGUGGUUCAUGAAGGGUUUGUUCAGAAUCCUGAUUCCAGGUAUAAUCUGCGUGAACCUCAUGGAGAAAGAGCCCCUUCUCGGAAGGUUCUAUGCUUGAAGAAGUUUAAGAAUACUUAUGCUAUCCUGAUCUGAGUCCUGAGGCAGGGCUACUGAACUGAGCCAUCCACACAUGCUAAUUAGCAACUUCUCGCACAGCUCUAAUUUGUCCAGACAUAAGAAAGCUACCAACACAAUAUUCACUUGAAAAUGACAACUUUGCAAUAGUAGCUCUACCUACUCCUAACAAGCAGAAGAAUUCUUGCACAGACAUUCUCAUAUGCACUUAAACAUUGGCUGCUAAGGGAUUCUGGUCUGUUCAACUCUUGGUUUUCCUUAGAUAUUUUAAAAUAUCUCCCCUCCCUACACCUUAGAUUCCCAUUCAUAGAAAGGACACAAUCAUUAAAAUUAGGAUCUGUGAAAUCAUUUCAUAUCUGAAGUGACUACUAUAUUCCAACAUGAUUGGAGAAGUUAUUUUUUCUGGGUUUUUCAACACAGAGGACAUUUAUGUUCUGGGAGUUUAAUAUUUCAUUCAGAUCUUAAGAAUGGAAAACACUACAAUUGUUGUACCUUUCUUUCCUUACUUUGGACAGGAUUUAAAUUAGGGACCCUUGAUUUUGAUAGAGAACAGUUGUUGUUUCAUUAAAAAAGAAAAAAUAAUGUACAAGCCUACUUAAUGUAUCAGAGAAGUUGAUGGAACUUUUAAACAGUCUGAGAAACAAUUACAGUUUACAUAUUAUAGAACUGUAGAUUUGGAAGGGAAUUCAUUAGCUCACUCUUUGGGUGCGGCCAAACUUACUCAUGUCUGGCUCCUUUCCUAAGUUUCUUCUCAAAAUGGAAUGUACAUUUGGAGAAAAGAGACAAAACAAGAGCAUGUAAAAACAUAGCAGAUGCUAAAUUUGUAUAUUAUAUUUAUAUAUAUGUUAUAUAUUAU
This is a long non-coding RNA of Sapajus apella (tufted capuchin), 1958 nucleotides long. RefSeq lists it as uncharacterized. The record is from RefSeq and is a predicted model, not a curated record. Lineage: Eukaryota; Metazoa; Chordata; Mammalia; Primates; Cebidae. The transcript is spliced from 4 exons.